This 397-nucleotide ribosomal RNA is filed under the name uncultured bacterium. RNAcentral describes it as "bacterial SSU rRNA". It matches the Rfam family "Bacterial small subunit ribosomal RNA", at positions 362 to 776 of the family's 1533-position model. The record is from RNAcentral.
UAUUGCACAAUGGGGGAAACCCUGAUGCGGCGACGCCGCGUGAGUGAGGAAGGAUUUCGGGAUGUAAAGCUCUAUCAGCAGGGAAGAAAAUGACGGUACCUGACUAAGAAGCCCCGGCUAACUACGUGCCAGCAGCCGCGGUAAUACGUAGGGGGCAAGCGUUAUCCGGAUUUACGGGGUGUAAAGGGAGCGUAGACGGAAUUGCAAGUCUGAUGCGAAAAUCCGAGGCUCAACACCGGAACUGCAUUGGAAACUGUAUUUCUAGAGUGUCGGAGAGGCAAGUGGAAUUCCUGGUGUAGCGGUGAAAUGCGUAGAUAUCAGGAGGAACACCAGUGGCGAAGGCGGCUUGCUGGACGAUGACUGACGUUGAGGCUCGAAAGCGUGGGGAGCAAACAGG